This 465-nucleotide ribosomal RNA is filed under the name Vreelandella stevensii. RNAcentral describes it as "partial 16S ribosomal RNA". It matches the Rfam family "Bacterial small subunit ribosomal RNA", at positions 338 to 795 of the family's 1533-position model. The record is from RNAcentral. Lineage: Bacteria; Pseudomonadati; Pseudomonadota; Gammaproteobacteria; Oceanospirillales; Halomonadaceae.
CCUACGGGAGGCUGCAGUGGGGAAUAUUGGACAACGGGGGGAACCCUGAUCCAGCCAUGCCGCGUGUGUGAAGAAGGCCCUCGGGUUGUAAAGCACUUUCAGUGAGGAAGAACGCCUGGUGGUUAAUACCCAUCAGGAAAGACAUCACUCACAGAAGAAGCACCGGCUAACUCCGUGCCAGCAGCCGCGGUAAUACGGAGGGUGCGAGCGUUAAUCGGAAUUACUGGGCGUAAAGCGCGCGUAGGUGGCUUGAUAAGCCGGUUGUGAAAGCCCCGGGCUCAACCUGGGAACGGCAUCCGGAACUGUCAAGCUAGAGUGCAGGAGAGGAAGGUAGAAUUCCCGGUGUAGCGGUGAAAUGCGUAGAGAUCGGGAGGAAUACCAGUGGCGAAGGCGGCCUUCUGGACUGACACUGACACUGAGGUGCGAAAGCGUGGGUAGCAAACAGGAUUAGAUACCCCAGUAGUC